Molecule: ribosomal RNA, 255 nt
Filed under: Klebsiella variicola
Lineage: Bacteria; Pseudomonadati; Pseudomonadota; Gammaproteobacteria; Enterobacterales; Enterobacteriaceae
Description: partial 23S ribosomal RNA
Rfam family: Bacterial large subunit ribosomal RNA
Source: RNAcentral
GAGAUUCCCCCAGUAGCGGCGAGCGAACGGGGAGCAGCCCAGAGUCUGAAUCAGCUUGUGUGUUAGUGGAACGGUCUGGAAAGUCCGACGGUACAGGGUGAUAGUCCCGUACACCAAAAUACACAGGUUGUGAACUCGAAGAGUAGGGCGGGACACGUGGUAUCCUGUCUGAAUAUGGGGGGACCAUCCUCCAAGGCUAAAUACUCCUGACUGACCGAUAGUGAACCAGUACCGUGAGGGAAAGGCGAAAAGAAC